AGAGUUUGAUCCUGGCUCAGAAUCAACGCUGGCGGCGUGCCUCAGACAUGCAAGUCGAACGCGAAAGCCUCCUUCGGGGGGCAAGUAGAGUGGCGCACGGGUGAGUAACACGUAGGUAAUCUACCUUUGGAUUGGGAAUAACAACCGGAAACGGUUGCUAAUACCGAAUAAUGCAGCGGCACCUAAUGGUGACAGUUGUUAAAGCGGGGGAUCGCAAGACCUCGCGUCUGAAGAGGAGCCUGCGGCGGAUUAGCUAGUUGGUAAGGUAACGGCUUACCAAGGCGAUGAUCCGUAGCCGGCCUGAGAGGGCGGUCGGCCACACGGACACUGACAUACGGGUCAGACUCCUACGGGAGGCAGCAGUCGGGAAUUUUGGGCAAUGGGCGAAAGCCUGACCCAGCAACGCCGCGUGAAGGAUGAAAUCCCUCGGGAUGUUUCUUCGCAAGAACGGGAAGAAUAAGUAAGAGUUAAUAUCUCUUACGAUGACGGUACUGUUUAGUCCCCC
Molecule: ribosomal RNA, 505 nt
Filed under: uncultured soil bacterium
Lineage: Bacteria
Description: bacterial SSU rRNA
Rfam family: Bacterial small subunit ribosomal RNA
Source: RNAcentral